GAAAGGUAUGCUAAUACGGGAUAAUAUAUUUGAGAGGCAUCUCUUGAAUAUCAAAGGUGAGCCAGUACAGGAUGGACCCGCGUCUGAUUAGCUAGUUGGUAAGGUAACGGCUUACCAAGGCGACGAUCAGUAGCCGACCUGAGAGGGUGAUCGGCCACAUUGGAACUGAGACACGGUCCAAACUCCUACGGGAGGCAGCAGUGGGGAAUAUUGCACAAUGGGCGAAAGCCUGAUGCAGCAACGCCGCGUGAGUGAUGAAGGCCUUCGGGUCGUAAAACUCUGUCCUCAAGGAAGAUAAUGACGGUACUUGAGGAGGAAGCCCCGGCUAACUACGUGCCAGCAGCCGCGGUAAUACGUAGGGGGCUAGCGUUAUCCGGAUUUACUGGGCGUAAAGGGUGCGUAGGCGGUCUUUCAAGUCAGGAGUGAAAGGCUACGGCUCAACCGUAGUAAGCUCUUGAAACUGGGAGACUUGAGUGCAGGAGAGGAGAGUGGAAUUCCUAGUGUAGCGGUGAAAUGCGUAGAUAUUAGGAGGAACACCAGUUGCGAAGGCGGCUCUCUGGACUGUAACUGACGCUGAGGCACGAAAGCGUGGAGAGCAAACAGGAUUAGAUACCCUGGUAGUCC
RNAcentral lists this ribosomal RNA (624 nucleotides) under uncultured bacterium. RNAcentral describes it as "bacterial SSU rRNA". It matches the Rfam family "Bacterial small subunit ribosomal RNA", at positions 153 to 796 of the family's 1533-position model. The record is from RNAcentral.